GCUAGUAAUCGCGGAUCAGAAUGCCGCGGUGAAUACGUUCCCGGGUCUUGUACACACCGCCCGUCACACCAUGGGAGUCGGAAAUGCCCGAAGUCAGUGACCCAACCGGAAGGAAGGAGCUGCCGAAGGUGGAGCCGGUAACUGGGGUGAAGUCGUAACAAGGUACC
RNAcentral lists this ribosomal RNA (167 nucleotides) under uncultured bacterium. RNAcentral describes it as "partial 16S ribosomal RNA". It matches the Rfam family "Bacterial small subunit ribosomal RNA", at positions 1334 to 1500 of the family's 1533-position model. The record is from RNAcentral.